Molecule: ribosomal RNA, 398 nt
Filed under: uncultured bacterium
Lineage: Bacteria
Description: partial 16S ribosomal RNA
Rfam family: Bacterial small subunit ribosomal RNA
Source: RNAcentral
AUACGUAGGGUGCGAGCGUUGUCCGGAAUUACUGGGCGUAAAGAGCUCGUAGGUGGUUUGUCGCGUCGUCUGUGAAAUUCCGGGGCUUAACUCCGGGCGUGCAGGCGAUACGGGCAUAACUUGAGUACUGUAGGGGAGACUGGAAUUCCUGGUGUAGCGGUGAAAUGCGCAGAUAUCAGGAGGAACACCGGUGGCGAAGGCGGGUCUCUGGGCAGUAACUGACGCUGAGGAGCGAAAGCAUGGGUAGCGAACAGGAUUAGAUACCCUGGUAGUCCAGGCCGUAAACGGUGGGCGCUAGGUGUAGGGGUCUUCCACGACUUCUGUGCCGUAGCUAACGCAUUAAGCGCCCCGCCUGGGGAGUACGGCCGCAAGGCUAAAACUCAAAGGAAUUGACGGGG